CAGAGACUUAAGAAGAGUAGAAGUAAGAUGCCUGAAGUAGAAUUUAGAACCACCAUAAUACAAAUACUAGCUGGGGUUGAGAAAAGCAUAGAAUCCCUUUCUGCAGAGAAAAAAGAAGUAAAAUCUAGUCAGAAUGAAAUUAAAAAUGCUAUAAAGGAGAUGCAAACUCAAAUGGAUGCCAUGAUGGCAAAGAUGGAUGAAGCUGAGCAGCAACAAAUCAGCAAUACAAAAGAUAAAAUUAUGGAGAAUAAUGAAGCAUAAAAAAAAGGCAAAAGAGCACCAUACAACACUUAGACAACUCAGUGACUUACUAAAAAGGAAUAAGAUCCAAAUUAUAGGAGUCCCAGAAGAUGAAGAGAGAGAAAAAGGGGCAGAAGGUUUGUGUGAGCAAAUUAUAGUGGAAAACUUUCC
Molecule: long non-coding RNA, 411 nt
Organism: Leopardus geoffroyi (Geoffroy's cat)
Lineage: Eukaryota; Metazoa; Chordata; Mammalia; Carnivora; Felidae
Exons: 4
Source: RefSeq, a predicted model, not a curated record